Molecule: non-coding RNA, 4821 nt
Organism: Monodelphis domestica (gray short-tailed opossum)
Lineage: Eukaryota; Metazoa; Chordata; Mammalia; Didelphimorphia; Didelphidae
Source: RefSeq, a predicted model, not a curated record
ACUCUACUGGCACAGAUUGCACCUAGCCCACCAUCACCCCAUGUCAUAAUGAGGCCCCAGGGAAAGACUUUGUCACAGACCCUAACUAUGCACAGCCUUUAAGGGUGGAUUAUUUAGUUCCCUUGUGGACUUCAGGGUACAUACAAAUUUUCUGUUUCAGGUCUCCUAAUCACAUGGUGAAGAGACUGACUUCUGAAUAUCUGCUCUUCUGGAACUAGGAAUGCAUACGAAAUAUUUCCUUCAGGACAACUCAGCCCUUAAUUUUCCUUCUCAGGUGGAAAGCAAGGGGAAUAAAUGCUAGUGGCAUUUUCUGGGUAGGAGAGGAGAGGCUGGCUUUCUCAUCUGAAGCCACCAUGAAGCUAAGAAUAAGAGAGAUGGGAGCAGCAGAAGCAUCCACACUGGCUCCCCAGUUUGGUCAAUAAGGGAUCUCUGAAGAUCUGUUGGUCUCCCUUUGUAUUUGUUCUUCCUUGCAUUUUGAUGAAGGAGAGCCCAACUUGACUUGCCACCUUGUGCCAGCCACCAACCAUAUAGGAGAUACAGUCUGAGUCUGAUUUUGCAAACAGUCAAACCUAAUAGGGAGCAAAUUCCCGAGGGAGUUGCUCCCUGAAGUAACGCAGUGGAUCCAAGGUAACCAAGAGGGAGAGACAGCAACUCAUCCAUGAACUAUGCCAUAUUUGGAGAAGAAAAAAAAAAACAAAAAACAACCUUUGCAAGGCAAAUGCAGCGGAUUUGUAAAAAGCAACUGAUUUGAGGUUGAGUGCAUUCUCUCUAGGGACCGAGGUAGAACUGGGGAGAAUGGGUCCCCAGGCGUGUGUGCAGAUGGUAUGCUCAUCUGAUUUACAAAUGACAAGGAGCUGGGACUGAUGGCUAACGCAAUAGAGGAUUGAGUCAAUAUCCAAAAAGACCUCAGCAGAUCAGAAUGCAGGACAGACUUGAAUUCAAUGAAAUUUAAGCUCCAAGUCUUCUGGGGUUUGUUGCUAGCCAGGUAUGCAAAACAAAGACAGGAAUUCAAACCAAAGGUUUGAAGUAGAUGGCAAUGACUCCAUUGGCUCCAGCUAAGUGCUUUUUUAAUAAUUUUUUUUUUGGUUUUUCAUUUCCCCCUUUCAUUUGCAAGGGAGACAGAAAGAAUCUUAGAGUGAUGGAAAAUUGAGUUGCCCAACACUCACAUAGUGAAAUUUCUUGUCAGAACUCUUUCCCUCAACCUUCAGUGGAUUUAAGAGACUUAUAAGGGUUUUCCAAAGCAGAGAUUAUGUGGCCCUUCUAACCCUCAGUCUGACGGAGUCUUGGAGCAGGGAAGUUUUUCAUGUUAAACAAGGACAAAUUUUUGAAAGAUAGGUUAAGAGACUUUGAGUUUGACACCGUUAGCUGGUGUCCUAGGUUCCAAAAGGAGAUUAGGUCCUGAGUUCAAAGAGUCUCCUUUGGGAGAAGAAAAGCCUCCCACAGCUAUCUCUGGGUGAAAUAUCUUUCAAUUGAAAAGAACAAUUACUUAAACAUUUUAUUUAAUCUAAUAUGGGAUAUACAAAGGACCAAUCUCCCCAAACUCACUUCUGAACUCUUAUGGGGAAGAGCUGGUACCUCAGUUGAAGACUCACUGUAUCAAAAAUCUGAAGGCAAGAAGAAGCUCCUAGCCAAAUGCCUGGAACAGACACCUCUAGAGAUACUCAUGAAAAGAAGUACCAAUACAUGUCACAUGAGGACAGUUGAGUAGUAGAUCCAACAUCAACCACCCAUUGUCAUUACUAGAAGCCCUCAAUGCUCCUGAGACAUCAGAGUGGCUCUCCUGUGCAUUUUAUUUAUAUAUAUCCUCAACUCACUCAAAAUGCUUUGGCCAAGUGUUCCAUCUUCCAGAGCUUGGGAAAUUUCCAAUUUAUGAUGUGUGCAUUGGUGAGAAAGUAUUUUUCAGAUUUAUGGGGGAAAUAAUAUAUUACUUUUUCUCUUAGUGCUAUUUCAUUAAAUGCUUUUUCUCCGUCCACGAGUAUUGCUAGUUGUAUCUGCUGGGCUUUGGCUGGGAGCUUCUUCCUAUUUUCAGCUUUUUCUUACAGUGAGCCUUCAAAUGAUCUGCUAUCUCUUCUCCAAGAGUUUAAAAGUGAGUUUGGGGAGAUGGGUCCUUUAUAUAUCCUGCAUUAACUAAAAAAACCUUUAGCUAGUUUUUACUGACAAUAUAAAAAUGGACAUAUCAGUGGGGGCAUAUGAAGUAUGAUGUUAGAAAGGAUAUAAACAUAUAGAGCUCCUGGAGCCAAGGACCACUUUUUCUGUGAGAACUGGCAUUUCACAGAUACAGUAUUAGUUCAUAUUUCCUAGUUAGAGACUCCCCCCCCCCCCUUUUUUGAUAGCUUAAAUGGGACUUCCUACAGGAAAUCCUUCUAUCCUGUACUUGGCAUUCAUAUUGACUUUCCUGGCUUGCAGUAUGGUAGUACAGAGAGAAUGAUAGAUUUAAAAUGAGUUAUAAUCUCAGCUCAGCCAAUAGUUUAUGGAUGUCUUUGGACAAAUCUCUUCUCCAUUCUGUAACUCAGUUUCUCCAAGUAGAUGAGUUCCUUCUAAGGUUCCUUCCAGCUCUAAAAUUCAUGAUUUUAUAUUUCCUGCAUAAAUGAAUUACUUUCCAAAUUUUGUCCUCUCCUUUCUCCCCAAAGUACUGAAGACACAAAACAAACAAUUUAUAGCCACUCCAUUGGACAGCCUAGAGAUUAGCAAGGGAAAUGAUUCUUCUCCUUUAUUUUCCUGGCACAGAGGAAAUGAUUUUCUACACAGGACCAGCCCACCUGUCCUUUACUCUUCUCACGUGUAGCCCAGAUGUGGUAACAUGACCUUUCCUUCCUACAAGGUGCCCUUCCAUCAGCCUUUCUGGUCUUGCACAAGUGGGGCAGGCUCUUGGCGGUCCCUUCAUCCUAUCCCCUCAUUGGAUCAUUUACCAUGUCCAGAGAGGUCAUGUUACUUGCUCCAGAUCCCACAGGGAACACAGAGAUGGAGCCACGAUUUGAACCGAGGUCCUCUGACAGCAAAACCAGAUCCCUUUCUACUCCUCUGUACUGUAGAACACCAUCAGGAAGCUAGAUUGGAUUUUUGCUAGAGGGAGCAGGUUGGUAUUGCUGGAAGACAAUUCUCUUCCUACUUAAAUCUCCGCCAAGUUCAAGACAGCCACAUCUGGCAGACGGGGGACAUGGGAUGCCCAACUGGCCAGAAGACCUCACUUGGCAUUGGGUAGCUCAAAAUGAACGUUUGCCGUUCUGUGUCAGUCACUCUACGAAGCUCUGGGGAUUCAAAGAUGAAAAUAGCCAUGCCCCAAGAUGAGAGAUGGAAUGGUGAGUCUGGAUUCCAAGGCUGGCGGAGAGAAGGAAUUUGCACGAAGGCUACAAAGGCAUGUUGGAUUCAAUUCAUGAGGAAUCAAUAUGUUACCCUGGAUGCAUUUGGCAGCUUCUGACUUGGGGGUUCUGAUCAAAAGAGUCAUGUGAUCAGUCCUCUGCCUCAGCAAAAGGAUUUUUGCAGCUAUGUGGAAAAUGAGCAGGAGAGGGGAAUAAGGAGGACACUGUAGAAAUGGACAGAUUCAAGAGAGCUGGGAUGGACGUCAAAUUGACAAGACUUGACAAUUUCCCUAGGUGGCAAAAUGGAGAGAAAAGGAGACAGACAUGGAAACAGGGAAACCUGAAUUUGAUUUCUCAGACUCUACUAACUGUAUGACCCUGGAUAAGUCACUUAAUUUCUAUCUGUCUCUAUUUCCAAAUCUGUAAAAUAGGGACAAGAAGAGCACCAACUUCCUAAGGUUAUCAUAAAGGUAUUAUCAGAUAAUGUUUGUAAAGUGCUUCUCAAACCUUAAUUGCUUUACAAAUUAUAGCUAUUAACAUAAUAUUUAUGCCAAUGUAAUAUAAGACUCAGACUCUGCCCUCAUGGAAUCUAGUGUGACUGAUGAGAAUGGAUGUUAGGCCUUUAAUAGAUAAUUGUGUUCAUCAAAGCCACAUUAUUGCUAUGAACACUCCUUUCACAUGUGGCUCUUCUCUGAGUUGUAUCCAUAUUUCCCCACAGAUCUUCCAAAGAGUGGCUGCCUGACAAUCUUUGAAGUCAAAGACUCUUUUAUUUUUCUUUGUGUCUUCAAUGGCUAUCCCAGUGUCUUCCAUAGAAUAGGUGCAUAAUAAAAGCCUGUUAACUUCACUGACUGACCCUAGACCCUGGACCUUUGUGCCUCAGUUUCUUUCUCUGUAAAGGGGUAAGAGUAAUGGCUUAUAAGUUUCCUUUUAUUUCCCAAUUUGUGAUCUCAUGAUCCCAUGAACUUGUCAGAUCUACCCCCUAUUGUCAGUCACAGGAAUGUUGAUUUUUAGUUUCAUGUCCUGGGAGUUGGUCCGUCCCUCAUUGUUAAGGGACUCAGGAACCAUUCAUCCCUGGCAUCAGCUUCCCACCAACUUAUCAACUUUAGACACUUGAUGAAUUUCAUGAGCAGAAAAAAGACUUUUUAUCUCUCCAGUUCAGAUUUUUUUUAAUUCAGAAAUUAAUAAUCCAAGAUUCCUUUACAUAUUUCAUGGAAAAAUAUAUUAUCCAUUUAAUGGCCUUGAUAUUAAUAAUCAGGAAAUCAAAUCUGAAAGUCCAAUGAUUUAGCUUAUAAAAUGAGGGAUGGUCCUAUGGGACAUGAGCAAUCACCCAAUGAAUGAAAAUAGGAAAAACUUUGUGGCCACUUGACCUUGGGACAGUCUCAAUGAGAAGAAUAUUUUUGAGGAUGUGCUUUGAGAUGAGAAGGAUAGGAAAGGGGAGCCUAUAGGUACUCGGAGUCUAGGAGCUUGGAAACGUGUGUGUGUGUGUGUGUGUGUGUGUGUGUGUGUGUGUGUGUGUGUGUUG